UGAUCUCCAAUCACUUUUCUAUCAUAUUGGAACUAAGCAAGAGAGAGGAUCUCAACCACAAAGGGGAGCGAAUCCAAAUAUCCACCACAUGAGGGCAAGUGAAAAAAAUAUGAUCAACAGAUUCUCUUGCACCACAAAAACAAAACUCAAGGGAGAUAUGAGGAAGGCGCUCAUGAAGAAGAGACUUACAAGGUAAGCAUUCUAAAUAACAUUGCCAAAGAGAGAUCUUAAUUUUGCUUGGAAAAUUUAAUUUCCACAAUUUCUUCCAAAAGGCUGCAUUUUGAGACGUAGAGGAUGGACCAAGAUCCUGUGAGCCUGAAAAAAACACCUACAUGUGCCCUGCCUGCUACCCAAUAACUUGACUUGACCGAGUAUGAGCCAUUUCUCUUAAAGUUUCACACCAGCUUAUCUUCUUGAGGGAAAAAAAAAAAAAAAAAAAAAAAAACUUAAAAGGGAUUUUUAGAAUAUGGUCAAUCGAGUCUCCCUCAAAGUUAGCUUCUAACUUGUGAAAAUCCUAAGAAUGAGUUGUUGGGUUGAUAAGCUGUGAAACCCUUGAGAUGCUCUCAUCAUGCCCAAUUCGAAUUUCAAGUAUUUGAGGAAAAAGGCUAGAAACCUAACAAGUCUCGUAAAAAAAUGUUAUGACCAUAACCUAUGUGCCAUCUUAUACCCUGUUUAAGAAGCUUUCUACCCUAGAAAAUAUUUUGCUAAACCCAUGAUGCUCAACUAUCCUGGGACGCUUACAGAAAAUAGGUGUGAGGAAAAUAUUUCCCUUUAAGAACUUGAGCAAUUUUGGAAUUUGGAUUUAUAAGGAUACGCCUCCCCUGCUUUGCAAUCAAGGCUUUAUUAAAGUUUUCUAUGUCUCUGAAGCCCAAGCCACCUUCACUUUUAGAUUUACAAAGCUUAGACCAAGCAGGCCAAUGUAGUUUCCUUUCAUCCUUCACUUGACCCUACCAGAAAUUAGCAACUCUGCUAUUAAUUGUAUUGCACAAAGAGGCCGCAAAGCUAAAAUAAGACAUAGCAUAUAUCGGGAUGGCAAAAGUGACGGCCUUAAUUAAAACUUCCUUUCCACCUUUGGAUAAAAGCUUCUCCUUCUAGCCAGAACACUUUUUCUUAAUUCAUCCUCUGAAAUUAUUGAAGGUUUGUGUUUUGAAUUUGUGAAAGUAAGAAUGAAGACCCAAAAAUCUAUCAAAGGAGUCUAAACUCUAAAUAUUGAGAUGGAGAGAAAUUUUUUGCCUUACUACCAAAGGAGUAUUUAGGCUAAAGUAGAUAACUGACUUAGACAAAUUAAUAGAUUGGCCACUAGCCCUCAAAUAAUCUUGAAAAAUAGAUUUAAGAAUGUUAGCCUAGUCCAACUAUGCAUGAGAAAAUAUAAUAGAAUCAUCUGCAAAUAAUAAAUGUGACACCGAAGGGUAGUGGCAAGAUGCAACUAUGCCCCAAAGAUUUGAUUUCUUGAUAACAUGAGACAAACUUUCUACAACAAAGAGAAAAAUAUAGGGUGAUAUCAGAUCUCCCUGACGGAUGCCUUUGGUUAGUGUAAGAUAACCAAACUGGUGCCUAUUGAUCUUGAAGGAGAAGAUAAUCGUGGUCACACAUUGCAUAACCCAAUUUAUCCACUUCUCGUGAAAGCCAAAACCUUCAAGCAUAUGCUAUAAAAAGGACCAUUCUACACACUCAUAUGCUUUGCUGAUAUCAAGUUUCAUUGUCAUGCCAGCUAAGCAACCCUUUUCCUCAAUUUUGUAUUAUGCAUAGGUUGAUGACAGAUAUGCAUAAAUUGAUGAUAGAUGAUAACAUUAUUAGAGAUUAGACGACCUUUUAUGGAAGCAUUAUGCUCCACUUCAAUGAUAGUGAUAAAUGACUAUUUAGACUCUGUUAGGAGUUUUAACCAAUAUCGUUUGACUAAAAUGAAAUAAGAGAAAAGAUAGGUUAGAAGAUGAAAAGUUGAUAAGUUGCAAAACUCACAUUUUUUUCCUCAUUUAAUUCCUUGAUUUUACUGUAAUUUUGAUAUAAAUAUUUAAUUUUAAUUUGAAUUUAAUUUUGGACAGGUUUGUGAGCAGAAGUUGAGAAAAUGAAGAAAAAAAGACUGAAUUAAAUGAUUUUUUUAUAUUGGGAGGCUACAACCUUGACCAAACCUGUAACCCAAGGCGAUAGGGAGAUAAGAUAGAUUUUGCCACCUAAACAAGGAUAAGAUCACUUUCAAG
This 2198-nucleotide long non-coding RNA is filed under the name Manihot esculenta (cassava). RNAcentral describes it as "long non-coding RNA (MESC_LNC008045)". Lineage: Eukaryota; Viridiplantae; Streptophyta; Magnoliopsida; Malpighiales; Euphorbiaceae. The record is from RNAcentral.